GGAACGAUGGUGUAGGGGUAACAUUUCUGGUGCGACUUGAGUUCACAUAAUAAAUUUGCUAGCGCCAGGAGUCGCUCGUUCGAGCCGUGCUCGUCCCA
Mycena sp. CBHHK59/15 is the source of this 98-nucleotide non-coding RNA. The record is from the annotation of a GenBank genome assembly. Lineage: Eukaryota; Fungi; Basidiomycota; Agaricomycetes; Agaricales; Mycenaceae.